RNAcentral lists this long non-coding RNA (287 nucleotides) under Heterocephalus glaber (naked mole-rat). RNAcentral's name for it is "lncRNA (ENSHGLG00000034736.1)". The record is from RNAcentral. Lineage: Eukaryota; Metazoa; Chordata; Mammalia; Rodentia; Bathyergidae.
CAGAAAUAAGAAAGUUGCUCUUCUUCUCCACAACGUCUCCUGCGAGGUGCUUUUCAGAUCCGCGUGGUUCCAGUCAAGAUGUCACUUUUAGAUCCCCCGCGUUGAGCAACUAAUACAUUAUGCAGUAUUGGGCAAUAAACUCUCCCGGGAAGAGAAGGUAGUCCAAACAUUUAAACUGCUCUCCACUGACUCCUGUCUGCCUCAGGACAAUGCCUUGAUAUAGACCCGCAGCUAACUGGAUUUGAUUUAUAAGAAGGAAAUCUACAGUCAAUGGCCACUCUGCCACA